GAGUUUGAUCGUGGCUCAGGAUGAACGCUAGCGACAGGCCUAACACAUGCAAGUCGAGGGGCAGCGAUAGGUGGCAACACCGAGUCGGCGACCGGCGCACGGGUGAGUAACGCGUAUGCAACUUGCCUAUCAGAGGGGGAUAACCCGUCAAAAGACGGACUAAUACCGCAUGAAACAGGGGUCCCGCAUGGGGAUAUUUGUUAAAGAUUACAUCGCUGAUAGAUAGGCAUGCGUUCCAUUAGGUAGUUGGUGGGGCAACGGCCCACCAAGCCGACGAUGGAUAGGGGUUCUGAGAGGAAGGUCCCCCCAACUGGUACUGAGACACGGACCAGACUCCUACGGGAGGCAGCAGUGAGGAAUAUUGGUCAAUGGGCAGAGCCUGAACCAGCCAAGUCGCGUGAGGGACGAAGG
Molecule: ribosomal RNA, 411 nt
Filed under: uncultured bacterium
Lineage: Bacteria
Description: bacterial SSU rRNA
Rfam family: Bacterial small subunit ribosomal RNA
Source: RNAcentral